Molecule: ribosomal RNA, 468 nt
Filed under: uncultured bacterium
Lineage: Bacteria
Description: partial 16S ribosomal RNA
Rfam family: Bacterial small subunit ribosomal RNA
Source: RNAcentral
GACGAACGCUGGCGGCGUGCUUAACACAUGCAAGUCGAACGGAAAGGCCCUGCUUUUGUGGGGUGCUCGAGUGGCGAACGGGUGAGUAACACGUGAGUAACCUGCCCCUGACUUUGGGAUAACUUCAGGAAACUGGGGCUAAUACCGGAUAGGAUCUCCUGCUGCAUGGUGGGGGUUGGAAAGUUUCGGCGGUUGGGGAUGGACUCGCGGCUUAUCAGCUUGUUGGUGGGGUAGUGGCUUACCAAGGCUUUGACGGGUAGCCGGCCUGAGAGGGUGACCGGCGACAUUGGGACUGAGAUACGGCCCAGACUCGUACGGGAGGCAGCAGUGGGGAGUAUUGCACAAUGGGCGGAAGCGUGAUGCAGAAACGCCGCGUGCGGGAUGACGGCCUUCGGGUUGUAAACCGCUUUCGACUGUGACGAAGCGUGAGUGACGGUAAUGGGUAAGGAAGCACCGGCUAACUACGUG